This 388-nucleotide ribosomal RNA is filed under the name uncultured bacterium. RNAcentral describes it as "bacterial SSU rRNA". It matches the Rfam family "Bacterial small subunit ribosomal RNA", at positions 28 to 417 of the family's 1533-position model. The record is from RNAcentral.
GACGAACGCUGGCGGCGUGCUUAACACAUGCAAGUCGAGCGGUAAGGCCCUUUCGGGGGUACACGAGCGGCGAACGGGUGAGUAACACGUGGGUGACCUGCCCUCAGCUCUGGGAGUAAGCCUGGGAAACUGGGUCUAAUACUGGAUAUGACUCCACGGUGCAUGUCGUGGGGUGGAAAGCCUUGUGCGGCUGAGGAUGGGCCCGCGGCCUAUCAGCUUGUUGGUGGGGGAUGGCCUACCAAGGCGACGACGGGUAGCCGGCCUGAGAGGGCGACCGGCCACACUGGGACUGAGACACGGCCCAGACUCCUACGGGAGGCAGCAGUGGGGAAUCUUGCGCAAUGGGCGAAAGCCUGACGCAGCGACGCCGCGUGAGGGAUGACGGCCU